Molecule: microRNA precursor, 97 nt
Organism: Danio rerio (zebrafish)
Lineage: Eukaryota; Metazoa; Chordata; Actinopteri; Cypriniformes; Danionidae
Gene: dre-mir-26b
Product: microRNA 26b
Source: Ensembl
GCAUUUGGCCUUUGCCUGGUUCAAGUAAUCCAGGAUAGGUUAGUUCCCACUAGUACGGCCUAUUCUUGGUUACUUGUUUCAGGAGGAGGCUACGAGC